AAAGCUCAGUAACACGUGGCUAACCUAUCCUCGGGAGGGGGAUAACACCGGGAAACUGGUGCUAAUCCCCCAUAGGGGAGGAGGCCUGGAAGGGUUCCUCUCCGAAAGGGCGUAGCGGGGGUUAUCGCCGCUACGCCGCCCGAGGGUGGGGCUACGGCCCAUUAGGUUGUUGGCGGGGUAACGGCCCGCCAAGCCGAUAAUGGGUAGGGGCCGUGAGAGCGGGAGCCCCCAGAUGGGCACUGAGACAAGGGCCCAGGCCCUACGGGGCGCACCAGGCGCGAAACCUCCGCAAUGCGGGAAACCGUGACGGGGUCACCCCGAGUGCCCCCGAUAAGGGGGCUUUUCCCCGCUGUAGGAAGGCGGGGGAAUAAGCGGGGGGCAAGUCUGGUGUCAGCCGCCGCGGUAAUACCAGCCCCGCGAGUGGUCGGGACGAUUAUUGGGCCUAAAGCGCCCGUAGCCGGCCCGGCAAGUCCCCUCCUAAAACCUCGGGCUCAACCCGAGGGGUGGGGGGGAUACUGCCGGGCUAGGGGGCGGGAGAGGCCGAGGGUACUCCCGGGGUAGGGGCGAAAUCCUAUAAUCCCGGGAGGACCACCAGUGGCGAAGGCGCUCGGCUGGAACGCGCCCGACGGUGAGGGGCGAAAGCCGGGGGAGCGAACCGGAUUAGAUACCCGGGUAGUCCCGGCUGUAAACUAUGCGGGCUAGGUGUUGGGUGGGCUUAGAGCCCACCCAGUGCCGCAGGGAAGCCGUUAAGCCCGCCGCCUGGGGAGUACGGCCGCAAGGCUGAAACUCAAAGGAAUUGGCGGGGGAGCAC
RNAcentral lists this ribosomal RNA (811 nucleotides) under uncultured archaeon. RNAcentral's name for it is "bacterial SSU rRNA". It matches the Rfam family "Archaeal small subunit ribosomal RNA", at positions 85 to 879 of the family's 1478-position model. The record is from RNAcentral.